UGGCCUACGGGGCGCAGCAGUGAGGAAUAUUGGUCAAUGGGCGGGAGCCUGAACCAGCCAAGCCGCGUGAGGGAAGAAGGUACAGCGUAUCGUAAACCUCUUUUGUCAGGGAACAAAGGCGGGGACGUGUCCCCGGAUGAGUGUACCUGAAGAAAAAGCAUCGGCUAACUCCGUGCCAGCAGCCGCGGUAAUACGGAGGAUGCGAGCGUUAUCCGGAUUUAUUGGGUUUAAAGGGUGCGCAGGCGGUCUGUUAAGUCAGCGGUAAAAGUCCGGGGCUCAACCCCGGCCCGCCGUUGAAACU
RNAcentral lists this ribosomal RNA (301 nucleotides) under uncultured bacterium. Its description in RNAcentral is "bacterial SSU rRNA". It matches the Rfam family "Bacterial small subunit ribosomal RNA", at positions 335 to 634 of the family's 1533-position model. The record is from RNAcentral.